RNAcentral lists this ribosomal RNA (493 nucleotides) under uncultured bacterium. RNAcentral describes it as "partial 16S ribosomal RNA". It matches the Rfam family "Bacterial small subunit ribosomal RNA", at positions 28 to 507 of the family's 1533-position model. The record is from RNAcentral.
GACGAACGCUGGCGGCGUGCUUAACACAUGCAAGUCGAACGGUGAAGGGACCGGUUUUUGCUGGUUCUGGAUGAGUGGCGAACGGGUGAGUAACACGUGAGUAACCUGCCCCCUUCUUCUGGAUAACCGCAUGAAAGUGUGGCUAAUACGGGAUAUUCUGCGCCUGCUGCAUGGUGGGUGUGGGAAAGAUAUUGUUUCGGUGGGGGAUGGGCUCGCGGCCUAUCAGCUUGUUGGUGGGGUGAUGGCCUACCAAGGCGGUGACGGGUAGCCGGCCUGAGAGGGUGGACGGUCACACUGGGACUGAGACACGGCACAGACUCCUACGGGAGGCAGCAGUGGGGAAUAUUGCACAAUGGGCGCAAGCCUGAUGCAGCGACGCCGCGUGAGGGAUGGAGGCCUUCGGGUUGUAAACCUCUUUCGCCAGUGAAGCAGGCCUGUCCCUUUUGUGGGUGGGUUGACGGUAGCUGGAGAAGAAGCGCCGGCUAACUACGUG